GACGAACGCUGGCGGCGUGCUUAACACAUGCAAGUCGAACGAAGUGGCGAACGGGUGAGUAACGCGUAAUCAACCUGCCCUUCAGAGGGGGACAACAGUUGGAAACGACUGCUAAUACCGCAUAAGGCAGGAGGGGAUUGCGUCUGGUUAGCUCGUUGGAGGGGUAACGUCCCACCAAGGCGAUGAUCAGUAGCCGGUCUUGGAGGAUGCACGGCAACAUUGGAACUGAUACACUGCCCAGACUCCUACGGGAGGCAGCAGUGGGGAAUCUUCCGAAAUGGACGAAAGUCUGACGGAGCAACGCCGCGUGAGUGAUGACGGCCUUCGGGUUGUAAAGCUCUGUUAAUCGGGACGCGGUACCGGAAUAGAAAGCCACGGCUAACUACGUGCCAGCAGCCGCGGUAAUUC
This 408-nucleotide ribosomal RNA is filed under the name uncultured bacterium. RNAcentral describes it as "partial 16S ribosomal RNA". It matches the Rfam family "Bacterial small subunit ribosomal RNA", at positions 28 to 526 of the family's 1533-position model. The record is from RNAcentral.